UGAGUUGAAGAUUUGUGACUUUGGUUUAGCUCGUCAAUAUGGGAGCCCCUUGAAACCAUACACUCAUUUGGUGGUUACUUUGUGGUACAGGGCGCCAGAACUUCUGUUGGGAGCCAAGCAAUAUUCUACUGCAAUUGACAUGUGGUCACUGGGUUGUAUUAUGGCCGAAAUGCUAUGCAAAGAACCACUCUUCAAUGGGAAAACAGAAGUUGAUCAAAUUGACAAGAUAUUCAGAAUUCUUGGCACCCCUAAUGAGAUGAUUUGGCCAGGGUUUUCCAAGCUUCCUGGGGUGAAGGUCAACUUUGUAAAGCAUCAGCUUCCAGCUUUGGGUGAUUCUGGUUUAAUAAUUUAAGAAAUAAAUUUCAAAGCCCUACAACAUCUUACAUGGGAAAACCAGACCUAUCAGAGUCUGGCCUUGACCUGUUGAAUAAGCUUUUGACUUAUGAUCCUGCGAAGAGGAUAUCUGCCGAUGCUGCUUUGAACCAUGAGUGGUUUCGUGAAGUU
Molecule: unclassified non-coding RNA, 504 nt
Filed under: Hevea brasiliensis (rubber tree)
Lineage: Eukaryota; Viridiplantae; Streptophyta; Magnoliopsida; Malpighiales; Euphorbiaceae
Source: RNAcentral